CAGAACGAACGCUGGCGGCAGGCCUAACACAUGCAAGUCGAGCGGAAACGAUCCUAGCUUGCUAGGAGGCGUCGAGCGGCGGACGGGUGAGUAACACGUGAGAAUCUGCCCAUUAGUGGGGGAUAACCUGGGGAAACCCAGGCUAAUACCGCAUAAUCCCUACGGGGGAAAGCAGGGGACCUUCGGGCCUUGUGCUGAUGGAUGAGCUCGCGUCGGAUUAGCUUGUUGGUGAGGUAAUGGCUCACCAAGCCUACGAUCUAUAGCUGGUUUGAGAGGAUGAUCAGCCACACUGGGACUGAGACACGGCCCAGACUCCUACGGGAGGCAGCAGUGGGGAAUCUUGCACAAUGGGCGAAAGCCUGAUGCAGCCAUGCCGCGUGUGUGAUGAAGGCCUUAGGGUUGUAAAACACUUUCAGAGGGGAAGAUAAUGACGGUACCCUCAGAAGAAGCUCCGGCUAACUCCGUGCCAGCAGCCGCGGUAAUACGGAGGGAGCUAGCGUUGUUCGGAAUUACUGGGCGUAAAGC
RNAcentral lists this ribosomal RNA (525 nucleotides) under uncultured Stichotrichia. Its description in RNAcentral is "partial Bacterial small subunit ribosomal RNA". It matches the Rfam family "Bacterial small subunit ribosomal RNA", at positions 25 to 566 of the family's 1533-position model. The record is from RNAcentral. Lineage: Eukaryota; Ciliophora; Spirotrichea.